Long non-coding RNA from Cryptotermes secundus, 817 nucleotides. RefSeq lists it as uncharacterized. The transcript is spliced from 4 exons. The record is from RefSeq and is a predicted model, not a curated record. NCBI's taxonomy places the organism in Eukaryota, Metazoa, Arthropoda, Insecta, Blattodea, Kalotermitidae.
AAUUAGUUCAGCUGUACUCAUACACCUCUUCACAUGUGUCCUGCUGUCUGGCAUUCGCUGAGACAGCGAACUACCUGGCAGUGACACGGUAAGCCGCUGAGAAGGGCAAACCAGCGACAAAUGCAGAAGACGUAAGCCAUGGUACACUUGCAAGUGAAGAAACUUGAAAGUAGGAGCUACACUACAAUCUCCAGGAACCAGUUCUCUAUAUUCUUGUGGCACUGGAAUGGAGCUUAUGCAGCACCGAAUCGGGAUUACCAACCAGGGCCAGUAUAACGGUUCGAAAUGACAGUUAUGGCCUUUUUCAAGAUUAUGUGCUUUGUCUGGAAAGGCUGAAGGAAACUUGAUCACAAUGACCGGUCCAUGUAUCAGAGAUGUUGCCGCGAAACUAAUGGUCGCUCAGUCGCCAACAAUUUCCGGGCCAUUUAUGGAACACAAAAGUCAUAUUGCUGCUCCCACAAAAGCGCGAUAAUAUAUUCCAACAAGAACUAAAUGUAUGGAGCCCUCACCUUCGCGCCCUACUUUUGAAGGACACAUUACUCUCCCACUUAGAUAAGACUAGGUCUCCCAAGACGUAUUUUCCCUUCAAACCUCCUAACAACAAUUCUGUAUGCAUUACAUCUUUCCCAUGCGUGCUGUAUUUCCCGGCCUUCGCCUGGCUCGCCGUAAUAAUAGGCCUGUUUAGGAAGGGGUACAAUUUAUGAUGCUCUACUUUAUGGAUUUUUUUGAUUCUCCAUUAACUUGUUUGCUCUUUGGCCCAAAUAUUUUCUGGGAUUCAUUUCGUAAGAUGUAAUCAAGGCAUAUAUCUAAAUGUCAU